RNAcentral lists this ribosomal RNA (465 nucleotides) under uncultured bacterium. Its description in RNAcentral is "bacterial SSU rRNA". It matches the Rfam family "Bacterial small subunit ribosomal RNA", at positions 337 to 798 of the family's 1533-position model. The record is from RNAcentral.
UCCUACGGGAAGGCAGCAGUGAGGAAUAUUGGUCAAUGGGCGCAAGCCUGAACCAGCCAUCCCGCGUGCAGGAUGACGGCCCUAUGGGUUGUAAACUGCUUUUGUUUGCCAAGAAUGGUACCUACGUGUAGGUAUUUGACGGUAGCAAAUGAAUAAGGACCGGCUAACUCCGUGCCAGCAGCCGCGGUAAUACGGAGGGUCCAAGCGUUAUCCGGAUUUAUUGGGUUUAAAGGGUGCGCAGGCGGAUCUUUAAGUCAGUGGUGAAAUCUUGCCGCUUAACGGUAAAAUUGCCAUUGAUACUGAAGAUCUUGAAUGUAGUUGAGGUAGGCGGAAUGUGUUGUGUAGCGGUGAAAUGCAUAGAUAUGACACAGAACGCCAAUUGCGAAGGCAGCUUACUAAGCUACGAUUGACGCUGAGGCACGAAAGCGUGGGGAGCGAACAGGAUUAGAUACCCUGGUAGUCCAC